This 406-nucleotide ribosomal RNA is filed under the name uncultured bacterium. RNAcentral's name for it is "partial 16S ribosomal RNA". It matches the Rfam family "Bacterial small subunit ribosomal RNA", at positions 29 to 526 of the family's 1533-position model. The record is from RNAcentral.
AUUGAACGCUGGCGGCAGGCCUAACACAUGCAAGUCGAACGAGCGGCGGACGGGUGAGUCAUGUCUGGGAACCUGCCCGAUGGAGGGGGAUAACUACUGGAACCGGUAGCUAAUACCGCAUACCAUCAGAUGUACCCAGAUGUGAUUAGCUUGUUGGUGGGGUAAAGGCUCACCUAGGCGACGAUCCCUAGCUGGUCUGAGUGGAUGAUCGGCCACACGGGAACGGGGACACGGGCCAGACUAGUACGGGAGGCGGAAGUGGGGAAUAUUGCACAAUGGGGGCAAGCUGGAUGCAGCCAUGCCGCGUGUAUGAAGAGGGCCUGAGGGUUGUAAAGUACUUUGAGCGGGGAGGCGUUACCCGCAGAAGAAGCACCGGCUAACUCCGUGCCAGCAGCCGCGGUAAUAC